RNAcentral lists this long non-coding RNA (827 nucleotides) under Trifolium pratense (red clover). RNAcentral describes it as "long non-coding RNA (TPRA_LNC002729)". The record is from RNAcentral. Lineage: Eukaryota; Viridiplantae; Streptophyta; Magnoliopsida; Fabales; Fabaceae.
UGUAACCACGAAAAGGAAAUAAACUAGCUUUGCCUUUUUUUUAAAUGGCUAAAUUUUAUUAAUAAUGUAACUGAGCGCAAGACGAGUAUAAUGCGCAAAACAAACAUAUACAAUCACAUCACAAGAAAGAAAAUAAACUAAAACAUGUACAACACCUAAAUCCACCGACACCCAUAGCGGGCACUCACCCCAAAUACCAUCAACCCCGUCCAUCCAACUCAAACUUCAUCACGUCAAUAACAAUCAAUCUUGCUCAAACACUAAACCACGUUGCAUCAGCCACAACCAAAACAGCAGCCCCUAAGCCAAACAAAAGCCACUGCACCAUAUGACACAACUUGCAUCUCUGAAGGACCUAAAUCGAACAAUUGUCUUCGUAAUAAAACCAUCGAAAGCAAGACAAAAACACACCAAUCCUAGCACACCAACGCUAACCAGAAAACACAACCAAAACAAUAGGCACAGUGGAGACCGAUGAGAACCACAAGCCAAACUCAAUCGGGUAUCAAACUCAAACCCAGUCAAAAGAGAACCACCAUCCGCCUGCAGCGCAAAAGCAGCCACGGCGGAGCACCAAAUCCAAACUGAAACCAAAACGCAAACAACAACAACAACAACAACUCAAUCUGAUGUAGAGCAACCAUCACGAAGCGUGAGCCACAAAACGCGAUUGAAAAGGAAACAUCGUGGCGCCGACAACGGACAGCUGACAACGAUACAACAUAACAAGGUGACGGUCGGAGGUUAUAAACUAGAUUGUCAGUUACUAUGGCAGAGGCAUUAGGAUUUCGUAAGUGCAUCUAAUGAUUAAAAGAAUAGAAUAUGAG